AGUUUUCGGAUUCCCAAACAAGUCUUAAAUAAAUCAGCGAGAUGUAGACAUCAAACACCAAGUAUUACAAAAAGGAAAGGACCCACCCACACACUAGAGAAUAUCAUGAUCCCAGGGGCACACGAAAUAGAUGGCCUUGCAUUUUUUUUUUAAUUUACAACAUCGCGUCUAUGGUGUAAAUAAGAACAAUAAAUCCGAGUUAGCCCGCUUCAGACUCGAACACUGUCGCAGAAGGAACAACGGUGAUCUUCGUCCUGGCGACAAAACACACACGGUUGAAGUCAGAGGCCAUCGCCAGUUCUUUUCACGCAUGGCGGCGCAUCGGCCUGGUUAGCAUCCCCCGCCAAUGGGGAUUUCACUGCAGAGUUCCACAUUGCAGCGUAACAAAAUCAAUCUACCUAGAAGUUCCUUCCUCUGUAUUGCUGCUGCUGCAUCUCCUGCAAAACAGAUUAAAACACGAUUAGAACGGACGAUUUGCAUCUCCAGCUUAACAGAGCUGGGGUGUACAAACAUUUCAUUUCAAAAGAGGCAUGUAUGUUGGCUCACAGGUGCAUAAUAAUAGACAGGGCGGGUCUGUCCCAUCAUCAUUUGCUGCCCAUACUGCAGAUAAGAAAACAAAGUUACUUAGCACGAUGGUAGCAAAGAGCAUCAGUAAUCUCGAGGCAUCAGCUUAUAUGCAAUUAGUCAGUAAUUCAGCGUCCAGGCAUUCGACCUGAGGGGGGAAUGAAUGACUACUAUAUAACAGCAUGGAAUGGCAAACUCAUGGUCCAAACAUAAGGCAAUUAAUAAACACCACUGUGUAACAUCAACAUAAGUAAUAACUAUAUAAACCAAGAGAACCCAGCCUAGGUCUUAGAUAGGAUCAUUAGAAAACUAUAAGCAUAACAGCAUGUCAACGAUAAGCCAAAACAUGCAUAGUGAAGUUCAUUUCACGUAAGCUGUCUCACCUGUUGCCCAGAAGGAUGCAUGUAACCCUGGGGAGAAGAUCCAGGCUGAGCAUUGUAAACAACAGGCUGUCCACCAUACGCCUGUGGAAACUGCAAUAUAAUUACCAUAGUGAGGUACAGCAAUUACAGGCAUAGUUAGCACAAGAAAUUGUUACAGCAAUCACUGCCAAUGCAUCAGAAGUUAGUACAGCCUUUUUACAAGGGGACACAAAAUAGAAUGUACAAUGUUCAAGAACCGCCACAUAAUUAAUAGAUAAAAUGUAAUCGCAUCAUUUUACAAUAUAUAGUUAUAUACUGCAUAUUGGUUCAACUGAAAGCACACUUGGAAACAUAACCUAGAUAUUCAGCCUAUGUGCGCCUUGGAAAGCAUGGACUACUGCAUUUUAAGACCUUGAAAAAUCGUGAAGGACCACAGCAAUUAAGAAAAGCUUAUCAAUACAAUCUACUGAUAAGCUUUGGUGCCAGAUUAACUGUUUGGCUGAUUAGCCUGUAAACUUUUCACUGCAACCAUUCACAAUUUUUGGGGGGUAAAAACCAACAAAUAUGUUCAUAACUGAGACAACUAUACAACUCCAGUAAUCGCAUCACAAUGCACACUGAUAUUAGGUAUAUAAAUUGCACGCUGAUAUUUGGUAAGAUAUUAAUUGCACGUUGAUACUCACUCCGUCCCGAAUUACCUGUCGCAGAAAUGGAUAAAAAUGGAUGUAUCUAGAACUAAAAUACGUCUAGAUACAUCCAUUUCUGGGACAAGUAAUUUCAGACGGAAGGAGUAUUAGGUAAAAUAUUAAUUGAAUGCUGAUAUUUGGCAGAAUAUUAAUUGUGUGGCAGAUUUCAUAGGAUGGUGUUAAGUCUAAACUUCUUUAUAACCAGUGACAGUGGUGAGUAACUAGAGCAUUAAACAAGUUUGGUGCUAAACAUUGGGGUGAUAUAGACCAUCAGAUCAGCAUGAUUCGAUGGCCGAGACGGUUUUGGUUCUCCGGCCUUCGAGCUUUUAUAGGUGUAGAAGAUGCAUCCAUUUGAAUUCAAAUAUUGCAACCAUUUUACAUAAAUAGUAAGUAACUUGGCAACUAUCAAAAGUAGAAACUCACCCCCAUGCCAACAGGCAAACCAGGUCCAGUAGCCCCCAUGUUAUUAGGAUAAUAGUAUGUUGCAUCAGGCGCUGGAGGGUGAUGUGGCCUCGGAGAAGUCAAGGGAGUGAAACUCUUAGCAUUAGGGUUCAAUUUGAAUUCCUGGUACGGAAAACCAAUAGUCAGUGCACUUGGCACAGGCGACAAAACAUGGCCAGAUAUGAUACACAUAUCUACAUUACAUCCUGACCUUAGCGUUUGGGUUCAAACUUGAUUUGUCUGAGCUAAGAGAUCCCAUCGAAGAACUUGGUGAUAAGCCUGGAGCAGCACUCGCAGCUGAGUUCGCAGCACUCGCAGCUGAGUUCGCAGCAACACGCUCGGAUGUUAAUGGUAUAGAACUGCCAGGUCUUUGAGAAGAAUUCGCAUAUUCAGGCGCAGAAGGAA
RNAcentral lists this long non-coding RNA (2458 nucleotides) under Triticum aestivum (bread wheat). RNAcentral describes it as "long non-coding RNA (TAES_LNC009588)". The stretch from base 1599 to 1723 matches the Rfam family "MIR1120/MIR1122 microRNA precursor family". The record is from RNAcentral. Lineage: Eukaryota; Viridiplantae; Streptophyta; Magnoliopsida; Poales; Poaceae.